AGGAUAGAGACCACCUUCUGUGCAAUCUUGGAAGCCAUGGGGUAAAGCCACACAAUGGAAGGAUCCUGGAUCCCUGAGUCACUACUUGGAGAAGAGCCACUCUACCAGAAAUGUCCACUUAGGAAUAUGAUAUGAAGAAGAAAACCCCCAUGGACUUCAGUGAAUUUUAACAGUCAUAAACUGGAAGAGAACAUUUGAAACCACGGAGGGCAGAUAAUAUUUUUGCACCACUGACCAUAACAAUUAUUGUCAACACAUAUAGAAUUCUUUUAGAUACGUUGGUUUUGUGGUGGCCUUUUGAGGACUUGACAACAGAGAAGAAAGAUGUUUAUCUACUUAGAAAACCAAAUCAACGUAGGCCCAAUAACUGAAAAGGCCACUCUUUCUAAACUCUGCUUCAGUCUCACCUUGGAAAGAAAUCAAACAAUCAUACACGUGUUUUCUUUUUAUAGGCUUCUCAUUUUGUUCUGUUUGUCUACAUAAUACCAAUACCACACUUUCAAAAAUGUUGCAGCAUUAUUACUCUUAAUACCUGAAACUAUCCAUCCCCAACUUGGUUGUUAUUCUUUGAGAUUUUCUUGGUUAUUAUUUGUCCUUUGCAUAUCCAAAUACAUU
Molecule: long non-coding RNA, 615 nt
Organism: Callithrix jacchus (white-tufted-ear marmoset)
Lineage: Eukaryota; Metazoa; Chordata; Mammalia; Primates; Cebidae
Source: RefSeq, a predicted model, not a curated record